CCAUACUCUACUUUCCUACUCUCUCUGCAGGAUGUGCUCAGCUAAGAUGCUUUGUUAUAGGUCUGCUUCCUGAAUCAGACUUUUAAGAAACAGGAAGAAGGGUGUAAGAAAAGGCCUUGAGUAAACGUUAGAGUAAAAACCUGCAUUGGCCCAUCUCAGUCCUUCCCAGCUGGAAGCACUGUGGUUCUGCAAGAAGACAGCAGAGCUGGCAGGGAAAGAGGUUGGAACAGAAAAUGAGCUGAAACGUAAAGACAGAUAAAGGUGCUUGCAGAUCUACACACAGGAGUGCUUCCUCUUUCAUGCUCUUCUCCUCACCUGUGAGUGCCAGCAAUGUGAACGCAAACAAUCGUUUUUAUGGACACUGAAAAACAAGUAAUUAUGGAAUAAAAGCCCUUCUGUUUCUGCUGGCAGUGGAUGAAAUGACAGGAACCUUAAUUAUGCUCAAAUUCACGGUAAUAUAGAAUUCAGGAAGUGAGAAAAUCAUCAGGGCUUAAAAAAUGGGCUUUUUUAUGAUGUGAAAUUGUUCUGGACGUGGGCCAAAUCCACUCAUCAGUGAUGCUGAUGUAAAUUAAUAGAAGCAGUGUUUACUUACAGCGAAACCUUAACUUGCAUGUUAACUCGUGUAACUCAAAGUGUAACUUGAAGCACAGUUUGCACUUACCCCAAUGGGAAGGUAAUUUUCACCAGCUGUCUAAUUGCAUGUAAAGCAACUAAACAAUUGUCCUCCAUGUCUUUGCAAUUUGAAUUCAGCGCCGGAUCUGAACUGUGGUCCUCACAUACCUCUGAGAAAGGCUUCUUGAUACCAUAAAGAGAUGUAGUCUCUGAAAAUCUGAAUCCCAGAGGUUGAAGUCCAUAAUCAAAUGUCAUGUCCUGAGCCUCUCUCAGUAGAAAUGAGAGGGAACCCAGCAAUCCAACGAGAAAAACAGCAUGAAACUCAAAUACAGCCAAAUGGCCAAUAAUGCCACCAAAGUGAGUCAAAGAGAUGCUGAUCAGAGAGCUGUGUCAGAAGGCAUAUUUCAAACAGCUCUCCACUUUUGCCUGAUUUAAAUAUGUCUAGUCACUUUCUAAAUCAUAUUAAUUUAUAAAAUAUUAGACACAUCAUUUUGAAGUGUGAAUCGAAGUGUAGAGAACAACAUUUUCAGCAAUGAAUUCCUGAGCGUGGUCUGUGAAGUUUGCAAUUGUACCUGUCACCAUGUUUUUUACUGAGAGGCUUUUAAAAGUGCUGAUAAUUGACCUUGGAAUUGAGAAGGAAAAAGGAAAAAAAAGAAAAAUGAAAUGUGGUGGAAUGGUUGGAGCUGGGGUCAGUUUCUGGGUGACAUGAGCAAGCCACUUCAAUCUAGUGCAAGCAUUGGAGGUUUUGUGGUUGUUAAUAUAUAUUAUGUUAAUAUAUAUUAUGUUAAUAUAUCACAUCAAUCAGUAAGAGAUGAUAUAUUUUUAUGAAGUAUCAUUAUAAAACUUUUUGUUAAGUGAAAUGGUCUCUGGGAAGGGUAACCUAUAUAUGUGUUCAUUACAGUAUUACCUAUCUAGAGCUGUACAUGGCAUUCCUAAACUUCCCAGCCCAAUAUCUCAGUGAAACACGUUGGAAUAAUUAAAAAGCCAGUUGUUUCAGUGAUUGACUGGUGCUGAAAAAAAAAAUAGAUUUUCAUUAUAUCUAAUUCCAUUUUUCAAUAUGGAUAAUAUUAAACAGAACUACUCCUUAUUUCCCAGGUCACAAACUGGGAUUCUGAUGCCAGCUGGAGACAUUCAAAUUAUCUCUAUAUUAAAAAGACCAGACCUUUGAGAUAAACCAUGAAAA
Long non-coding RNA from Anas platyrhynchos (mallard), 1795 nucleotides. RefSeq lists it as uncharacterized. Lineage: Eukaryota; Metazoa; Chordata; Aves; Anseriformes; Anatidae. The record is from RefSeq and is a predicted model, not a curated record.